UUGGGAGCUUCAUCAGGACCCUCCAUGGGGACAAUGGGAUGGGCUCAACCUAGGGACCAACUUCCCCAAGGAUGGAGGAUGCUCUGUGAGGUGUGUUUGGGGUGACCUCUUCCUUAGCUUCUCCUCUGUGUCCCAUGCUCCUGGCCUCACUAGCUCAGCAGCGCGUGGCUCCUUCGGGGCCGGCAGUGAGCCAUGCUGACGCCUUGCGCUUGGGCGCACAGAACUGGUUUGUUGUGACCCUCGCUCCCUCCCAUGAAGAACAGACUAUUUAUUUCCUUCCUCCGAAGCUGAGCGCUUCCCUGUUGGGAGCCACCUCCUCUCUCUUUGUGGAUAGAGGAACGCUGAGCAGGGAUGAGAGCUUCCAGCUUGGUGGAUCCAAGCUCUUAAGGGCUUCAUCUCCACUGCUACACGGGGUGGUGGGGGGGACAGCCUGUCUGGAGGGGUCCUGGCUCAAAAGAGUGCAGCUCGGGUCUGCUCGGGAGCCAAAGACCGGCUACAGGGUCAGGCAUCCCGAUUCACGGUUGGAGAAGGACCAUCUGCCUGUGCCAUGUCGAAGGGAUUUUCACAUCUGAGCCACGAACGCAUCUCCUGUCCCACUGGGGCGUUUGCACAUCCUUUGACUCACCUGGACCAGCCGAAGAGGGGUGGAGCGGCGCAGGAAAAAGCCAUUAUCCAGAGGUUGUCCUUUCCCAUGCAGAAGGCUUCAUCGCAGAUGGAUGGGAAUCCUGCCAGGCAGCCACAUUUUUGAGGUGGGGAAACUGAGGCUGAGAUCCCUGUCCAGCUGUGCGACCUCCCGACAACAGUUGCCAGCCUGGUGAUGGAGGAAAGGGGGUCUUCCUAGAAACAAGAAACUCUUAAAAAUCCAAUGGAGAUAACAGCAUUCUCUACCCAACAAACCCGUUUCCAUGCACGCCAGGUAGAUGUUUGUCAGCUCUGCUGGAAGUGUGGGUAUCUGCGCAGGUAAGUGAUUGCGCACCGGUGCUUCUACACGUAUAUAAAGGGUGGGAAAGCCAAGGGGAGCAUCCAGGUGAGAACAGGAGCCAGAAGAGGACUGACCUGCAGCAUCCCGUGGCUGCACUCGCCAGGUAGGUGCUUGGACUCUGCUCGGUGAGGUGGGCACUUCAUAGGCGCUCGGAUAGGCGGUGAUGUUCCCAGCAUGUGUUGACUUCAGAAGAGCGAGCUCUGACAAGAAAGAGGAAACAAAAUCAAUGCUUAAACAAGAGGAAAGGUGCUUUCUGCUCAUCCCCCAUCGUAGAGAAUCGAUUCCACCAGCUCCUGCCUCCCUGCUUGUUGGGAGCACCCAGCAGACAGCGACGCAUGCAGCAGAGGCUCAGGGAGCUCUGGGUGCUCUCUGCGCUCGGGGAGCCGCUUUGAACAGACAGAAUAUGAGUCACCGACAGUUCCAGUUGACAGCAAGGAUUUGAUUUUUUUAUCUGGAAGACAGCUUGGUAGAUAAACAUACUGUCUUGUCACCGUGCUCACACCACUACCAGGUGGAUGCUCACCCCUCCUUCACCCUAUUUUACACGGGCAUAAGCAAAACAGGGCACUGCUGCACCGUGCGACCGCAGUACUUUGUUGUGCUGACGUUGAACUUGGGAUCCUCCUGCUUUGUGCUUUCUCUUUGUAGCUGGGAAGCAAAUUCACUAACAACAAAGUGCCUAUCUGCCUGGAGAGACAUUGAGCUAGAGAUCUUAGGUCUGGAAGACACGUCCUGCUUACAAAAUAAGGAAGGGACGUUCAGAAAAGACAUUUUUUUAACUGGAAGGGGGCUGUUCCUCUGGGGGAAGAGGGAGCGAAUCAAUUCACAAAGGGUUAGUCAAUAAGAGAUGGAAGAGGCGACUGGGUUUAUUUCUUUGUAUGUGGCAGUGUUUUAUUGCUGUGGUAGAAUAACCGAAAAGGCACAAAAGAUUGAUGCUACUGAGAUAGCAGAGUGUUAUCAGCCCGUAUGCAUAUCAACACGCUGGAUUACAAGGGGCAAGCCUGAGAAAUGCCCUUUGGAUCACUGUAGCAAACAUUACCUGGCACUGCGUCACUGCUGAUGGCUUUGAGGACCCAGAAUGGGUGGCAAGAGGUGCCACUCGUGCUGCUCUAAGUGGGGCCAAGGGAGGGGAGAGGGGCUACAGCCCACCCCAGCCCGGCUCUCAGCGGAGAGAUGCGACUGGCAAGCACUGCAAAAAGAGAAUAUUCAUUAACUGCCACUGGCCUUCGGUUCAAUAUUCGCUGAUAUUUAUGGGAAAUCUAAUUUAGGGGUCAAAUUUGACCUAACAAUGUCUUUUCAAUAACGUCCAAACCAAGAGGUUUCUGAAACUAAUUAAGGAUCAGGGUCCAAUCAGGUAGAGUAGUUGAGCUGUGGGACCAGACUUCAUUAAAUUCAUCCAGAGAGAAUAUUUUAAUAUUUAAAGAGAACAUUUAAUGUUUACGUAAGUCCCCUUCUGAUGUGAAGUCACUGUUAAAUCACUUCAGAAGGUAGUUUUUAAAGCUCUUUAUACUCAGCUUUUAUGGACCCAGGCUGGCAAAUGCCCUUCCCAGCUCUCCUGGACCCAAUGAGGCUUACUAAAAGAUUCAGCUCAUCAAGGGAGGUUUUCAGGGGUGAGGAAUAUGAAAACAAAAUUUCACAAAACAGCUGUCUUAAGGCUUUUCUCUUUUAUGGCAUCCCUCUUUCUCCCUUGCUGUCAGUGGGAUUGAUGGGACCAUUUUGCUCUGGAUGUGUGUGGGUCUUAAACGAGUACAGCUGGAGGGGUAAAGCUUGCAGAACAGAGGGAGUGUUUAACGAUACUGAAGGGUUGGGCUUGAAGUCUCUGGAGAUGUUGCUCAAGAACAAACCUGUUUACAGAAAAAGGUUUGAGAGGAGAAUUGUCAGUCAAGACACUUCUAUUCUCAGCUCAGGGGCAACUGGAAGAGUAAAUAUACAUCUAGGUAGCUGGUGGCUAAAUUAGAUUGCAACCGAUCAAAAGCCAAAGGGAUUUCUUGUCAAAUGGUCCUCUCUGUUGUCACCGUGGUAUCUUCUUUCCUGUGUCAUUCAGACUUGCGUGAUGGUUUCAAAGAAGGCGGUGGCCGGUUUGCUCUGGGUGUACGUGGUGUCCAUGCUGGCUGAACAGAAUGAAGGCUUCGUGCCCUUUUUCACUCGAAGCGACUUCCAGGAAAUGCAGGUAACUCCUGAGAAAAACUGCAGGGGCUGGAGCCCUGAAUAAACCAAGAAAGGUGUUUCUUCCUCCCUCAUCCCCAAGCUCUGCCAGUGCACAGUGCCACCGUCAUUGCUAUCACCUGCCCCUUCUGUUUAAAGGUGCUAUGAUACUGGCAGUCCCUGGCUUGUCCUGAAGUUAAGGGCUUUGAGAGAGGGCAGAGACAACUUUUAAGAUGUGAGACUAGAAAGAAAGAGUCUGGAGUCCUUUACAAAAGAGCUAAAAGACCUUUGUGGGUUCUCAGUUGCAGCUUAGUGGGUCUCGGUUUUCUUUCCUGCACAAUAGUAGCUGUAAUUUUUGUAUAGAGAAGCUGCAGCCUCCCAUCACCAUACGGAUGGGUCUUUUUGUUGUAACAAAUAAUUAACCAUCCUCCAGAUGGCUGUCACCUCUGGGAUGCGCAGAGAAUGCUUUUUUCUUUUGAUGUGAAACUAAUACUGUUGAAAGGUGUCAGAGACUGCAUCUUCUUAAACACAGCCGAAGUGAGCUUCCCCUGCAUGAUACAACCCAUCGAUACCGGGAAGAAAUCUUGUUUCCAACACCUUUCCAGACACUGGAUAGCAAUUGGUUUUGUGGAGAGUACAAUCAUCGUUCAGCCUUGUUGAGGAAGAUGAGCGAGACCCACGCACAGCCCCCAGAUCGAUUGUUCAUACAUCACAACUCUUGUAGCUAUGUGUCUGCUAGAGAUUGAGGGUCUUGUAGAAGAAUGGGGGUGAAAUCAGUCUUCCAAAGGCUGCCUCUCCUCCUCGGGGCACACAUUUGAACCAAAGGAAGCACAAACUAAGCACUUAAGUUUGGUACAGAGCACAACCUUUACUACGUUUCACAUGUCCCGUCAUGUACUAAAGCAAUUUUGGCUUUUCUCUUUGUGCUGGAAAGAAAGGGAGGGUCCUGAAGCCAAGUUUAGCCCCAUAAAUGGGAAAGGGCUGACAUUACAGACCUGCGAUAAAGGCAGAGAGCUUUCUGUCUGCAAUGAGGCUCUGCAGGCUUUUAUUAAAUUUAAUUGCCAUUGCUCCAGAACAGAACCGGGUCUGGGCCUCUGGAAUAACUCCACACGGUCAGUAGACUUGGCCACAACUGACAGGGUUACCUUGCACAGAUUGAAAGAGUUGUCUGAGAAUGUCAUAUUUGCUAUAGAUCUUUGCAUACAAUUCUGUAGCCCAACCUUACACCCAAUAUUGCCUCCUCUGCUGCAUGUCCCCAAGCCACGCUGACCACUGCUGGUGGGUCCUUCCUCAGGCAGCUGGAGGCCUGGGAACAUGGCCACACUGGCUCCAGGCAGCAGUUAGACCUCUAGUCCCUCUGGUUUUGCGCCCAGGUCCGCAGGCUCCUGCCAUCAUACUUUAUAUGGUGCACGGUGAGCUUGGUACCCAUAUGAUGCUGCAUCCCAGCAUCACUGCCCUAUUUGCUCUACUGUGGAGUUACAGGAAAAGGAGAGGAACAGAGGAGGGCAGAAGAAAUCCCUGACCUCGCGGCAGCAGCUGGAAGAAGAAGGCUUCUCUCGGCGAUCUGGUGCAGAUGUCCACAAGGUCAAGAGCAGCCAGGGAACCCUUUACCUGUCUGCGCAGCCACACCUGCGGUGAGCACGGCAGGAGUGCGUGGGUCCACCUCAAACUGCAGGAGAGACUGAGCAGGACAGGCAGCGGGAUGAGCUAGACUGGAAUUUGGCCAAGACACAGGUUAAUGUGCGCUGUCACAAAUGCGGUUCACCAACAAUCAAUAAUAGGAUUUAAGCAGCAAGGAUUCACAGUUCAAAGCAUUAAAUAACCGGCACAUCCCAAUAUCUAACAAACCCCCCCGGCCCCACAUCAACCACAAGCCCUCCUGUGCCUCCAGCCACGACCGGAAAAACUCGAUUUAAUUUAGGUACAUCUGAGCCACAGCUGGCUCAGUCAGUCAGUCUGGAGGCAGGAUGAUGUCUCAUCCUCAGCCUUUAGUAAGGCGCAGGGUGCUUCACCAGCAGCAGUAAAGCUGAUGGCUCGAAGGGUCAAGGUGUGAGAUAGUGGAGGAUUAUAAGGUUCAGAAAUUAUUUUCUUCUUUACAGACUCUGUUGCCAGGAGGUACCUUUAUCUGUGUUUCUGAGUCAGCUUAUAGAUGAUCCAAGGCAUUCUGAACAGCAUAAGAUUGCUUUGACUUUAAAAUGUUGCUUUUCCCCAUAGGGCGUUCACCCUCUUCCCUUCAAAUCAGUCCUAACCCCUCUACCGAGUUAAAAAAAGUGGGGUUAAAGCACCCCAACCAGCCUCUCCCUGCUCCCGUCCGUCUUUCCUUCUGAUUUUCCAUCUUCCUUCCCAGCUAGCUGUUCCUGUCAGACCUGGGAUGUGGCUCACCCUAAAGCAACUGGAAAAAUAUGAAGAUGUCCUGAAGAAACUGCUAGCAGAGAUGUCACAGGA
Cuculus canorus (common cuckoo) is the source of this 5572-nucleotide RNA transcript. It is a transcript of the gene named motilin, with no coding region annotated. The transcript has 5 exons. Lineage: Eukaryota; Metazoa; Chordata; Aves; Cuculiformes; Cuculidae. The record is from RefSeq and is a predicted model, not a curated record.